UACGGGGGGGGCAAGCGUUGUUCGGAAUUAUUGGGCGUAAAGGGUGCGCAGGCAGUUCUGCAAGUCAGGCGUGAAAUCCCCGGGCUUAACCUGGGAAUGGCGCUUGAAACUACGGGACUGGAGUAUGGCAGAGGGAGGUGGAAUUCCACGUGUAGCGGUGAAAUGCGUAGAGAUGUGGAGGAACACCGAUGGCGAAGGCAGCCUCCUGGGCCAAUACUGACGCUCAUGCACGAAAGCGUGGGGAGCAAACAGG
Molecule: ribosomal RNA, 253 nt
Filed under: uncultured bacterium
Lineage: Bacteria
Description: partial 16S ribosomal RNA
Rfam family: Bacterial small subunit ribosomal RNA
Source: RNAcentral